Molecule: ribosomal RNA, 698 nt
Filed under: Beauprea montana
Lineage: Eukaryota; Viridiplantae; Streptophyta; Magnoliopsida; Proteales; Proteaceae
Description: eukaryotic LSU rRNA
Rfam family: 5.8S ribosomal RNA (bases 264-420)
Source: RNAcentral
GUAGGUGAACCUGCGGAAGGAUCAUUGUCGAUGCCUGCNCAACAGAUAGACCCGCGAACAUGUUACACACUACGAUCGGGGGGCGGGGCGUGGGGGUAUAUGAGCCCCUUCCUCCCUAAUCCCCGUUCAGUCGGUCGGCUUAUAUGGUCUUCCGAUCCAACAAUACAAUCGGCGUGAUUGGCGCCAAGGAACUCAUAACGGAAUGGGCGUGCACCGUCGUGCCUUUCGUGCGGCGUGUCCUCUUUAAUCCGAAUCUCACAAACGACUCUCGGCAACGGAUAUCUCGGCUCUCGCAUCGAUGAAGAACGUAGCGAAAUGCGAUACUUGGUGUGAAUUGCAGAAUCCCGUGAACCAUCGAGUCUUUGAACGCAAGUUGCGCCCCAGGCCAUCAGGCCGAGGGCACGUCUUGCCUGGGCGUCACUCACCGCGUCGCCCCCCUCUGCCGUCCCUAUGUCGGUGGAGUUCGGANCGGAGAUUGGCCCCCCAUGCCGCUAGCGUGGCUGUGGUCGGCCCAAAGGAAAGCCCCUGUGUGGCGAGCGUCACGAAGAGUGGUGGUCGAAGCCACUUUGCCAUAGUCCGGACUUCGUGUGCGUUUCGCCUCCCUCGGGAUCAAUGGACCCUGUCGUCGUCCCGUGACGACGCUCCGACUGCGACCCCAGGUCAGGCGGGGCUACCCGCUGAGUUUAAGCAUAUCAAUA